AGAUGUGAGGGCAAUCUGGCUGCAAUACCUGUCACCCCAUUGAUGACCAGGGUUAAUUCGGCUGAUCUAGCUGGGGUAGAUGUAUUUCCCCUUCCUCCUUCACUGCUCCAUGUGUGUCCCUCCUGAAGCAGCACACCAGGUCAAAGAGCACAACCUUCCCUGAUAGAGAGGGACUGUUCUUUGGUCAAGGGUAUAGGAGUAGCUGCGCUCCCCUGCUAGAACUUCCAAACAAGCUCUCAAGGUCAUCCCAACAAUUCACUACUGUCCUAAGUUCCCAUUGAAAAUGGAAAAUAAUAGAGACUUCCUCAUAGUGGUCGUUAGGAAGUUUAAAUGAGUCCUCAGAU
Molecule: small nuclear RNA, 344 nt
Filed under: Castor canadensis (American beaver)
Lineage: Eukaryota; Metazoa; Chordata; Mammalia; Rodentia; Castoridae
Description: 7SK RNA (ENSCCNG00000031753.1)
Rfam family: 7SK RNA
About the family: 7SK was discovered as an abundant small nuclear RNA in the mid-70s but a possible function has only recently been suggested.
Source: Rfam by way of RNAcentral